Molecule: ribosomal RNA, 1157 nt
Filed under: Bacillus sp. (in: firmicutes)
Lineage: Bacteria; Bacillati; Bacillota; Bacilli; Caryophanales; Bacillaceae
Description: bacterial SSU rRNA
Rfam family: Bacterial small subunit ribosomal RNA
Source: RNAcentral
UCGAGCGGACAGAUGGGAGCUUGCUCCCUGAUGUCAGCGGCGGACGGGUGAGUAACACGUGGGUAACCUGCCUGUAAGACUGGGAUAACUCCGGGAAACCGGGGCUAAUACCGGAUGCUUGAUUGAACCGCAUGGUUCAAUUAUAAAAGGUGGCUUUUAGCUACCACUUACAGAUGGACCCGCGGCGCAUUAGCUAGUUGGUGAGGUAACGGCUCACCAAGGCAACGAUGCGUAGCCAACCUGAGAGGGUGAUCGGCCACACUGGGACUGAAACACGGCCCAAACUCCUACGGGAGGCAGCAGUAGGGAAUCUUCCGCAAUGGACGAAAGUCUGACGGAGCAACGCCCCGUGAGUGAUGAAGGUUUUCGGAUCGUAAAACUCUGUUGUUAGGGAAAAACAAGUACCGUUCGAAUAGGGCGGUACCUUGACGGUACCUAACCAAAAAGCCACGGCUAACUACGUGCCAGCAGCCGCGGUAAUACGUAGGUGGCAAGCGUUGUCCGGAAUUAUUGGGCGUAAAGCGCGCGCAGGCGGUUUCUUAAGUCUGAUGUGAAAGCCCCCGGCUCAACCGGGGAGGGUCAUUGGAACCUGGGGAACUUGAGUGCAGAAGAGGAGAGUGGAAUUCCACGUGUAGCGGUGAAAUGCGUAGAGAUGUGGAGGAACACCAGUGGCGAAGGCGACUCUCUGGUCUGUAACUGACGCUGAGGCGCGAAAGCGUGGGGAGCGAACAGGAUUAGAUACCCUGGUAGUCCACGCCGUAAACGAUGAGUGCUAAGUGUUAGAGGGUUUCCGCCCUUUAGUGCUGCAGCAAACGCAUUAAGCACUCCGCCUGGGGAGUACGGUCGCAAGACUGAAACUCAAAGGAAUUGACGGGGGCCCGCACAAGCGGUGGAGCAUGUGGUUUAAUUCGAAGCAACGCGAAGAACCUUACCAGGUCUUGACAUCCUCUGACAACCCUAGAGAUAGGGCUUCCCCUUCGGGGGCAGAGUGACAGGUGGUGCAUGGUUGUCGUCAGCUCGUGUCGUGAGAUGUUGGGUUAAGUCCCGCAACGAGCGCAACCCUUGAUCUUAGUUGCCAGCAUUCAGUUGGGCACUCUAAGGUGACUGCCGGUGACAAACCGGAGGAAGGUGGGGAUGACGUCAAAUCAUCAUGCCCC